RNAcentral lists this ribosomal RNA (255 nucleotides) under uncultured bacterium. RNAcentral describes it as "partial 16S ribosomal RNA". It matches the Rfam family "Bacterial small subunit ribosomal RNA", at positions 524 to 776 of the family's 1533-position model. The record is from RNAcentral.
UACGUAGGGUGCAAGCGUUGUCCGGAAUUAUUGGGCGUAAAGAGCUCGUAGGCGGUCUGUCACGUCGGCUGUGAAAUCCCGAGGCUCAACCUCGGGUCUGCAGUCGAUACGGGCAAACUAGAGUAUUGCAGGGGAGACUGGAAUUCCUGGUGUAGCGGUGAAAUGCGCAGAUAUCAGGAGGAACACCGGUGGCGAAGGCGGGGUCUCUGGGCAAUAACUGACGCUGAGGAGCGAAAGCGUGGGGGAGCGAACAGG